GAAGAAGGUGCGGAGUUGCGCGUUGUCAUUACUAAACUAAUUUUUAGAGUUCUUCGAUUUGUCGCAAAGCUUGACGAUGGUAGCGAGCAUCAAGUUUCCCAGCAUGAUGUGGAGUUUGAGGUUAACAUGAAACGUUUUACUGUUGAAAAACUGAUACAACUCAUUGGGUCCAAAGUUGUUUGGGGGAGUGCGCAGGAGGUACAUAUUUUGUGCAAGGACAAGCAUUUUGAAUCAGUUGAGAGGCUUGAUAACCACUGGAAAUUGCUCACAUCAUUUCUUGAGAGUUGGGAAGAGAAAGAAUUGCUUGUGCUAGCUCAAGUUGUGGCCAUUGCAAAGGGGGUUACGGCAUCAUCUUGUUCAGAAUUAUCCCAUCUAGUGAGAUAG
This 384-nucleotide ribosomal RNA is filed under the name Triticum aestivum (bread wheat). RNAcentral's name for it is "partial small subunit ribosomal RNA". Lineage: Eukaryota; Viridiplantae; Streptophyta; Magnoliopsida; Poales; Poaceae. The record is from RNAcentral.